RNAcentral lists this transfer RNA (99 nucleotides) under Candidatus Bathyarchaeota archaeon. RNAcentral describes it as "tRNA-Val". It matches the Rfam family "tRNA". From Rfam's summary of the family: Transfer RNA (tRNA) molecules are approximately 80 nucleotides in length. Their secondary structure includes four short double-helical elements and three loops (D, anti-codon, and T loops). Lineage: Archaea; Thermoproteati; Candidatus Bathyarchaeota. The record is from RNAcentral.
GGGCCGGUAGUCUAGCGCGGUUAGGACAUUCCAAGAAUGGAACCUAAAGCAGCCCUUACGAGGCUGAGGUCGCCGGUUCAAGUCCGGCCCGGCCCACCA